GGCACCCACUGAUGAGGAUCCCACCAUCUGGAAGUGCGCGCUUUGAUGAUCCAGCAUAAACCUCAGUUUUACUCCCCACUUCAGCAUUCAACGCAGGUUUCGCAUAAUCUUCAUCCUUCUCAUCCAACUUUUGUUUGAGAAAUUCUUGGGCCAAACUCCCAACCAUUCCCAAGAACCCUCCUCCAGACUGUCCAUUCUCACCACCUUGGAGUUUCUCCAUGAUCACCUUCAUAAACUUCUUCACCUUGGGACUUGAAUCUUCUCCAAAAAUAUCGAAGAGGGUUGGCCUCAAUUUCCCAACAUUAAUGUCAUCUUUCCCAGUUUUUUUGUUUCAGAAUGUCUAUAAGAGUGGACAGAGGUAAUGAUCUGCUUUUCACAUUGACUCGCU
RNAcentral lists this unclassified non-coding RNA (388 nucleotides) under Hevea brasiliensis (rubber tree). The record is from RNAcentral. Lineage: Eukaryota; Viridiplantae; Streptophyta; Magnoliopsida; Malpighiales; Euphorbiaceae.